RNAcentral lists this ribosomal RNA (254 nucleotides) under uncultured bacterium. RNAcentral's name for it is "partial 16S ribosomal RNA". It matches the Rfam family "Bacterial small subunit ribosomal RNA", at positions 524 to 776 of the family's 1533-position model. The record is from RNAcentral.
UACGGGGGGAGCAAGCGUUGUUCGGCUUUAUUGGGCGUAAAGGGCGCGUAGGCGGUCAGCACAAGUCAGUUGUGAAAUCUCCGGGCUUAACUCGGAAAGGUCAACUGAUACUGUGCGACUAGAGUGCGGAAGGGGCAACUGGAAUUCUCGGUGUAGCGGUGAAAUGCGUAGAUAUCGAGAGGAACACCUGCGGCGAAGGCGGGUUGCUGGGCCGACACUGACGCUGAUGCGCGAAAGCCAGGGGAGCGAACGGG